Molecule: long non-coding RNA, 364 nt
Organism: Sinocyclocheilus rhinocerous
Lineage: Eukaryota; Metazoa; Chordata; Actinopteri; Cypriniformes; Cyprinidae
Exons: 4
Source: RefSeq, a predicted model, not a curated record
UCAAAUCUACAGAGACAUUGCGGGAUCUUCAACGGUCGAGAUUCGGGAGCGGCAAGAGGAGUGAUUCACAACUGUGCAUAUUACACCAGGAGGAGACCACCGGAACUCUGGACUUCAUUCAAAGGCACUCUGUAGGUAUUAAUCCGGAGAGAGGAACAAUGAAGUUGAAAGGAAAAGUGGCAUCUAAAACAACAGGACAAAUGGUACAGAAGAAACAGCUUGAAGUGAACCCACAUGUUGUCACUCUUCUUUGCAAAGUGAAGGAUUUUCAGUGGAAUUUCUGAAAUCCACUCUUUGCAUCCUGGGAUGGAACCGCAUCUGGAGCUAAACUGCUCUCCCUUUUUUAAUCAGAAGUUUUGUUGGA